GCUCCGGUAGUAUAGCCCGGUCAAGUAUGGCGGCCUCUCGAGCCGCAGACCCGGGUUCAAAUCCCGGCCGGAGCACCA
This 78-nucleotide transfer RNA is filed under the name Candidatus Bathyarchaeota archaeon. Its description in RNAcentral is "tRNA-Glu". It matches the Rfam family "tRNA". From Rfam's summary of the family: Transfer RNA (tRNA) molecules are approximately 80 nucleotides in length. The record is from RNAcentral. Lineage: Archaea; Thermoproteati; Candidatus Bathyarchaeota.